GUGAGGUUAAUAACCUCAUCGAUUGACGUUACCCGCAGAAGAAGCACCGGCUAACUCCGUGCCAGCAGCCGCGGUAAUACGGAGGGUGCAAAGCGUUAAUCGGAAUUACUGGGCGUAAAGCGCACGCAGGCGGUCUGUCAAGUCGGAUGUGAAAUCCCCGGGCUCAACCUGGGAACUGCAUUCGAAACUGGCAGGCUAGAGUCUUGUAGAGGGGGGUAGAAUUCCAGGUGUAGCGGUGAAAUGCGUAGAGAUCUGGAGGAAUACCGGUGGCGAAGGCGGCCCCCUGGACAAAGACUGACGCUCAGGUGCGAAAGCGUGGGGAGCAAACAGGAUUAGAUACCCUGGUAGUCCACGCCGUAAACGAUGUCGAUUUGGAGGUUGUGCCCUUGAGGCGUGGCUUCCGGAGCUAACGCGUUAAAUCGACCGCCUGGGGAGUACGGCCGCAAGGUUAAAACUCAAAUGAAUUGACGGGGGCCCGCACAAGCGGUGGAGCAUGUGGUUUAAUUCGAUGCAACGCGAAGAACCUUACCUGGUCUUGACAUCCACAGAACUUUCCAGAGAUGGAUUGGUGCCUUCGGGAACUGUGAGACAGGUGCUGCAUGGCUGUCGUCAGCUCGUGUUGUGAAAUGUUGGGUUAAGUCCCGCAACGAGCGCAACCCUUAUCCUUUGUUGCCAGCGGUUAGGCCGGGAACUCAAAGGAGACUGCCAGUGAUAAACUGGAGGAAGGUGGGGAUGACGUCAAGUCAUCAUGGCCCUUACGACCAGGGCUACACACGUGCUACAAUGGCAUAUACAAAGAGAAGCGACCUCGCGAGAGCAAGCGGACCUCAUAAAGUAUGUCGUAGUCCGGAUUGGAGUCUGCAACUCGACUCCAUGAAGUCGGAAUCGCUAGUAAUCGUAGAUCAGAAUGCUACGGUGAAUACGUUCCCGGGCCUUGUACACACCGCCCGUCACACCAUGGGAGUGGGUUGCAAAAGAAGUAGGUAGCUUAACCUUCGGGAGGGCGCUUACCACUUUGUGAUUCAUGACUGGGGUGAAGUCGUAACAAGGUAACCGUAGGGGAACCUGCGGUUG
This 1074-nucleotide ribosomal RNA is filed under the name Klebsiella pneumoniae. Its description in RNAcentral is "bacterial SSU rRNA". It matches the Rfam family "Bacterial small subunit ribosomal RNA", at positions 447 to 1520 of the family's 1533-position model. Lineage: Bacteria; Pseudomonadati; Pseudomonadota; Gammaproteobacteria; Enterobacterales; Enterobacteriaceae. The record is from RNAcentral.